Molecule: ribosomal RNA, 393 nt
Filed under: uncultured bacterium
Lineage: Bacteria
Description: partial 16S ribosomal RNA
Rfam family: Bacterial small subunit ribosomal RNA
Source: RNAcentral
AUACGGAGGAUCCGAGCGUUAUCCGGAUUUAUUGGGUUUAAAGGGUGCGUAGGCGGUUUGCUAAGCGGGAGGUGAAAUGCCGGCGCUCAACGUCGGAAGUGCCUCCCGAACUGGUGGACUUGAAUGACUCUGCCGUGGGAGGAAUGUGUAGUGUAGCGGUGAAAUGCUUAGAGAUUACACAGAACACCGAUUGCGAAGGCAUCUCACGAAGGGUUGAUUGACGCUGAGGCACGAAAGCGUGGGGAUCAAACAGGAUUAGAUACCCUGGUAGUCCACGCAGUAAACGAUGAUGGCUAACCGCUGGGCUUAUCAGUUCAGUGGCCAAGUGAAAGCGAUAAGCCAUCCACCUGGGGAGUACGACCGCAAGGUUGAAACUCAAAGGAAUUGACGGGG